This 2178-nucleotide unclassified non-coding RNA is filed under the name Hevea brasiliensis (rubber tree). The record is from RNAcentral. Lineage: Eukaryota; Viridiplantae; Streptophyta; Magnoliopsida; Malpighiales; Euphorbiaceae.
UAAUUUUUUUUUUUAAAUUUUUUUAAAAAAGCAGCAGUACUGAUCACUUAAGAUUUUCUAUAAAAAGUGGAAUUUAAAAAAAAAAAAAGCAGUAGUGAGCCACUGACUAUCAAGCUGUCAUGAACACUAAUUCAAACUCAAUACUUGACACUCAAUUGCGAGAAUUUAUUUGAUAUAACCGCUGUAUGUAUGAAUAUACUUCAACCAUUGAUUAUAAUGAGACUCACCAUAAUCAAUAAUCAUAAUAAAAUUGUUAUAUAUACAAUAGUUGUAUUUUAAAAUUUCUCCUCAUUUGCACCAAGCAAAUAUGCACCCAGAAAUGUUACUUUUCAACUAAAUCUGAAUGCUAAAAUAUUCAAAACCAGCUAUAUCAGUCCUACUCUCCUUUAUGAUAAUAUAUCGAUCAUAUUUGCAACAACAGAAUAUUAAUUUUAUGGAAAUGUUCCUUCGCAAAUGUGUAAGGUCAUAAGGUCAUCAAGAUAUUGAACUUCCUAGGAACAUCCAUCUUGUGAGUUUGAUAGAGACGAGUGAAAGUAGUGUCACAGAGGGCACAAAGAUGACAUUUGGAAUGUCCUUGAUUCUCUUCAACUGGGGUACAGUGUUUCCUGCUCUUUAGCCGCCAUGGCUGCUGUUACCAUCCCAGUGACCAGGAUAGAGUCAACAAGUUUGCUAAGAUUUAUGCUCUUCUUCAUAAGCCCAACAGACAAUUCCUCUUUUUGGUGGGAUGGAGCUCUUCUCCAAUCAUUAAAACAUGCCUGUAUGGAAAUCGUAUUAUCAUUUAACUAGUAUAGGAGGUAAUGAGAAUGCAAAAGCAAUGUAUUGUCUAACCUCAAGUUCCUUCCUGGAGGGUAAGUCAUAAUAUUCAAUAGGCAAUUCUGAUAUGAAUGUGCUGUUCCAACGUUAUUUCAUAGGACAAUAUUCAGAUAAGCAAAUAUUAAUGCAAGAAAUUAUCAAAAUGUUGCUAACUCAUGAAACGGUAAUAAUCUGAAAGCAAAUUUUUUUCCCCCUGCAAUUUUCAGAAAUUGAAAUCUCUUACUCGAAGAUAUCAAGAAUACCGCUAUGGAAAUCCUCAAAGCUACUGAUAUUUUUCUCUAAAAAUUGCUUGUACAGUGUUCCCAUUACAAAACUUGUGGCAUGCAUUGAGGGCAACCCUUCUCCCAUGAGACUCAUAAACAUCCCCAUUUUGCCGGCUCGAUCACUAAAUGUUAAGAGACUCGCGUAAUAUAAGAUAAGGAGAAAAUGCGAAGAAGAGGAAAUGGCUUGUGGUCUAAGUAAGAAAGGAAUCCAUGAUGUCACAUGAUCCAACAGUUUUCAAUAUCAAAUCUGAUACUUCGCUUGGGAGAAGCUGUCAGCUUCAACGAGGGGCCUAAAAAGAGGUUCUUUAGAUCUUUUCUGGCGUGCACUAGUUUCUUUCAUUAUUUCCCUUUUUUCCUGUUCUCCACCAUUUCAUAAGCAGGGCUCUUCUGCUCUGCUAGACUCCAAAAAAGUUCAAAAAUUUCCUUGGUCAGCUGGUCAGUCAUCCAUUAAAAAAGAAUCAUGCCGGUGGUGCUCUCUGCCCACAGAUGAGACCUAACAACUCUUUGGGAGAUGAUAUUUGCCCACACGAAAGUCACCAAUGCCAUAGCAAAUAGAAAUGUUAGGAAAAACCAUAGCUUGGCUGUUAAAAAUAAUAACAAAUUAAAUCUGCAAGAUCUAGUGCAUGAAUGUCUUAGAGAGUAACAUUCCAAAAUAUAUUUCAUUAAAAAAAAUUAUCAUUGAACCAUAAUACUAGCACAUCCAGACAAAUGACUAAUGAAUAUGCAGCAUGUAGAAAACUUUUGUUGCAGCAGUUGAAGAAGAUGUACAUCAGAAUAAGCAGCAUGUACAAUUAUAAUCUUGCAGCAGGUUAAAAACAUUUCUUUCAACAAGUUUACUCGAAUCAUCAUUUAUCCCGUUAAGCUGAGGAUCUACGAUUCCAGCCACCUCUGCCGGACCUUCUCCUCCCCCGCUUUCCCUUAUUAUUGGAAACAUUAGACCUAGAUUUUGGAAGUGUUUUUCCACCAAAAUUCACACGAGGCACAAAUGCCUCUGGGGACAUGUCAACUUCAGAAGCCCGGAGUGUCUGCUUUUCUAUCAGUAAAUGAUGCUUCUCUAUGAGCUGGCUUCCACAAUUUUUCAAGUCUUGCAUUUCUUCUUUUG